Non-coding RNA from Malus domestica (apple), 599 nucleotides. Lineage: Eukaryota; Viridiplantae; Streptophyta; Magnoliopsida; Rosales; Rosaceae. The record is from RefSeq and is a predicted model, not a curated record.
CUCUUAAACUCUCGAACCUCUCUCUCACAACUCACUUUCAUCCUCUCCCUCCCUAUUCGUGAGCAAACCCACACCCACACCUGCAAUGAACACCAUCACCCACCACUAGUGGUAGACCUUCUCCCUCCCUCAUUCUCUGUGAAGCACAGAGAAUGAGUCCAACAACCCUCUCCGGUGAAUCUCCACCACCUCUGACAUGGGUAAGCCUAUGAAACACUCCAAAUACUUCUCUUUUCGUCCCUGUAGUUCAUUUCUGACUAUGUUGGUGUAAUUUGGAUAUGAAACUACGAAGAAACACCUCAGAUGAGCAAAACCCAGAUUCCUAGCUUCAACCGUGGGUUUUCAUAUGACUUUUUCGGCCAACUCUGACCACUACUUGGGAAACCAAAGGUGCAAUUGUUUAUGGCGUUUCUAUCCUCUCUAGUUUGCACGGCUCUUCGACGGUGAAAUAUCUAACUUAGAAUCGAAGCGUACAAUCCCAGCAUCAAGGCACUCUCGCAUCGGCAUCUUCGAGUCCUCUUGGUUUAGGACCCAUCCCUUUUGUUCAUUAAAUUUUAUAUUAUUACUUUUAGUGUCUCGGAUUAGUUGUAUGCUAUGAA